UCUGCCUUUUCAUCUUGUCUAUCUUUCUGUGAAUGUGGUUUUUGUUCCACAGGCUGCAGGAUUCUAGUUCUUGCUUCUGCUGUCUGCCCUCUGGUAGAUGAGGCUAUCUAAGAGGCUUGUGCAAAUUUCCUGAUGGGAGGGACUGGUGGUGGGUAGAGCUGGCUGUUGUUUUGGUGGGCAGAGCUCAGUAAAACUUUAAUCCACUUGUCUGCUGAUGGGUGGGGCUGGGUUCCCUUCCUGUUGAUUGUUUGUCCUGAGGUGGCCCAACACUGGAAUCUACCCGGGCUCUUUGGUGGGGCUAAUGGCAGACUCUGGGAGGGCUCACGCCAAGGAGUGCUUCCCAGAACUUCUUCUUCCAGUGUCCUUGUCCUCACGGUGACACACAGCCACCCCCCGCCUCUGCAGGAGACCCUCCAACACUAACAGAGAUGGCGUCCUGAUGAAAGACAAACACGCCGCUCUUUAUCUUCGUUCGACGACAGUGGGAAUUCAAGUGAAGACACCUUGCUGCCAGGGAGAACGCUCACUCCCAGGGAGACGAUGAGAAUGCAAACCGGCAGGACGGAUGGUGGGAGCACAUACAGCGAGCCUCAGGAGGGCCAUCACCAGGUCUCAUGACCCGGCCUUCCACCCGGUCUCUGCCCCAUCACUCCACCGCCACCCUGCCACCAGACUGAGCUUUCUACAACAAAAACCGCACUUCCUUGAAACGGUCCUGGUCCCCAUAGUCUAUGGCAGUGGUCCCCAAACCCGGUGCUCCAUCAGAGCCAUCUGGGCACGACCCCACCCCAAACCUUCAGAAACAGAAUUCUCGGGGACAGACAGACACAGAAAGGAAAUCUGUAUUUAUAUUUUACUUUUCCUUCAGCCUUUCGGAAUCAAAGAAAUAAUUCUAACCACCAGAAAGAAAUCAAUCUUCCAUGAUAUAUAUUUCCAUGGGAAUUUCAUUUUCCUUCUAAAAGCCUCUGAGGAUUCCUGGGUUAAAGGGAAAGAGAUUCUGAGAUUUUCCUUGUUUUUUCUUUUUCCUACUACCCCAACUCCUGCCCUUUACUUUUUCCUUGAUCAGUUUGGUGGUCUUGUAACAGGGAAGAGCCAAAUCUGACUACAUGUUGGAUCUGUUUCUUUUACUUUUUUUUUUUUUUCGCGGUACACGGGCCUCUCACUGUUGUGGCCUCUCCUGUUGCGGAGCACAGGCUCCGGAUGUGCAGGCUCAGCGGCCAUGGCUCACGGGCCCAGCCGCUCCAUGGCAUGUGGGAUCUUCCCGGACCGGGGCACGAACCCGUGUGCCCUGCAUCGGCAGGUGGACUCUCAACCACUGUGCCACCAGGGAAGCCCCUCCCUGUCCUGUCUUUGUUUCAAAUGAUCCCCACCUCCCUACUUUCCCCAGGGUAUCACCACCACCAGGCUGACACUAAUUAGUGGAUAAUAAAGCUUACCUAAUGACACAGGAAAGACUAAAGGCAGAAUAGGAAACAAGGUAUUAUUCAAUAUGACACCACUUCUCCUUGAAGGACUUGACCCUUCCCACCAUUAGAGGAGUAACAGGAUGGUUAUUGCUGUCUUUAUGCCCUGACCUUAUCUGCUCCCUGCCCCAGAGUGCCCUCUUCCCAUCUUCUCUCUCCUCCCCUCCCCCAGUAUCAGGUUCCUACCUGCUAUCAAAUGAAUGCUUGUAUUCCCCCCAAAUUCACAUGUUGACACCCUAACCUCCAAAUGUGAUGCAUAUCUAUUUGGAGGUGGGACCCUUGGGAGAUGAUUAGGUUUAGAUGAGGUCAUGAGGAUGGAGCCCCACGAUGGGAUUAGUGCCCUUAUAAAAAGAGGAGAGACCAGAGUUUCCCUCUGUCUCUCUCAUGUGAGAACAUAGCAAGGAGGUGGCUGUCUACAAACCAGGAAGAGGGCCCUCACCAGGAACUGAAUCCACUGGCACCUUCAUUUUAGACUUCUCAGAUUCCAGAGCUGUGAGAAAUAAAUGUUUGUUGUUUAA
Long non-coding RNA from Orcinus orca (killer whale), 1981 nucleotides. RefSeq lists it as uncharacterized. The record is from RefSeq and is a predicted model, not a curated record. The transcript is spliced from 2 exons. Lineage: Eukaryota; Metazoa; Chordata; Mammalia; Artiodactyla; Delphinidae.